CAGUCGAGGGGCAGCAUGGUCUUAGCUUGCUAAGGCCGAUGGCGACCGGCGCACGGGUGAGUAACACGUAUCCAACCUGCCGUCUACUCAUGGACAGCCUUCUGAAAGGAAGAUUAAUACAAGAUGGCAUCAUGAGUCCACAUGUUCACAUGAUUAAAGGUAUUCCGGUAGACGAUGGGGAUGCGUUCCAUUAGAUAGUAGGCGGGGUAACGGCCCACCUAGUCUUCGAUGGAUAGGGGUUCUGAGAGGAAGGUCCCCCACAUUGGAACUGAGACACGGUCCAAACUCCUACGGGAGGCAGCAGUGAGGAAUAUUGGUCAAUGGGCGAGAGCCUGAACCAGCCAAGUAGCGUGAAGGAUGACUGCCCUAUGGGUUGUAAACUUCUUUUAUAAAGGAAUAAAGUCGGGUAUGGAUACCCGUUUGCAUGUACUUUAUGAAUAAGGAUCGGCUAACUCCGUGCCAGCAGCCGCGGUAAUACGGAGGAUCCGAGCGUUAUCCGGAUUUAUUGGGUUUAAAGGGAGCGUAGAUGGAUGUUUAAGUCAGUUGUGAAAGUUUGCGGCUCGACCGUAAAAUUGCAGUUGAUACUGGAUAUCUUGAGUGCAGUUGAGGCAGGCGGAAUUCGUGGUGUAGCGGUGAAAUGCUUAGAUAUCACGAAGAACUCCGAUUGCGAAGGCAGCCUGCUAAGCUGCAACUGACAUUGAGGCUCGAAAGUGUGGGUAUCAAACAGGAUUAGAUACCCUGGUAGUCCACACGGUAAACGAUGAAUACUCGCUGUUUGCGAUAUACUGCAAGCGGCCAAGCGAAAGCGUUA
RNAcentral lists this ribosomal RNA (811 nucleotides) under uncultured bacterium. Its description in RNAcentral is "bacterial SSU rRNA". It matches the Rfam family "Bacterial small subunit ribosomal RNA", at positions 59 to 862 of the family's 1533-position model. The record is from RNAcentral.